UCUGGCGCCUUUGGCGUCCGAGUUGUAAUUUGGAGAGACAUCUUCGGGGAUGGCAUACUGUCCUAAGUUCCUUGGAACAGGACGUCACAGAGGGUGAGAAUCCCGUGCCUGGAUGGUUGUCCAUCCCCAUUGUGAAGGGUCUUCGACGAGUCGAGUUGUUUGGGAAUGCAGCUCAAAAUGGGUGGUAAACGUCAUCUAAAGCUAAAUAUUGGCGAGAGACCGAUAGCGCACAAGUAGAGUGAUCGAAAGAUGAAAAGCACUUUGAAAAGAGAGUAAAAUAGUACGUGAAAUUGUUGAAAGGGAAGCGCUUGAGACCAGACACGGUCCGUGGUAAUCGCCCGCGCUUCGGUGCAGGUGCUCUUACCAUGACCGGUGCCAGCAUCGGUUCUGGCGGUGGGAUAAAAGGCAGGGGAAUGUAGCUUCCUCACUGGGAGUGUUAGAGCCCCUGUCACAAUGCCACCAGUCGGGACCGAGGACUGCGCUUCAGCUAGGAUGUUGGCGUAAUGGUCUUAAGCGACCCGUCUUGAAACACGGACCAAGGAGUCUAACAUCUAUGCGAGUGUUCGGGUGGAAAACCCUUGCGCGUAAUGAAAGUGAACGGAGGUGGGAACCCCGAAAGGGAGUGCACCAUCGACCGAUCCUGAUGUCUUCGGAAGGAUUUGAGUAAGAGCAUAGCUGUUGGGACCCGAAAGAUGGUGAACUAUGCCUGAAUAGGGUGAAGCCAGAGGAAACUCUGGUGGAGGCUCGCAGCGGUUCUGACGUGCAAAUCGAUCGUCAAAUUUGGGUAUAGGGGCGAAAGACUAAUCGAA
RNAcentral lists this ribosomal RNA (809 nucleotides) under Parascutellinia carneosanguinea. RNAcentral's name for it is "eukaryotic LSU rRNA". It matches the Rfam family "Eukaryotic large subunit ribosomal RNA", at positions 121 to 939 of the family's 3401-position model. Lineage: Eukaryota; Fungi; Ascomycota; Pezizomycetes; Pezizales; Pyronemataceae. The record is from RNAcentral.